AUACACUGACGCGUUCUUGUUUAUGACCUAGUCCUGUUUAUGACUGCGCUCAAUUCAGCGAGGUUGUUUCAUUUAGCUAUGCUGAAAUUACAUUAGAGGCAUAAACCCUCAGAGAAGGUAGAUGAAAAGGAGCGCAACUCAUUUUCUCAUGUUUAACAGGAAUAUGAGACUAGGUCUGGAAAGUACUAUCCGGCACCAAGGGCUAGGAGGUAGAAAGAAGUUCUGUGGACUUCUGGAGGAAGACAGUACCUGUAACAAAGACAGCGACAACUUCACCUCACGGGGGGAAGCUGGGGACAGUCAACAAGCUUUAACAGAAAAAAUUUUGAAAUAGGAAACCUUUUAAAGAAAAUAUUAGGAAAACAAGGAUAAAACCAAAAUUUUUCUAAUUGAAGCUGUCAUAAAUUUCCCUUGAAAAUGAUCAAAUUAGCAAAUUUAUCAUCAAAUAAUAUUCAUCAAUGCCAUCAACAGUGCAACAAAACAGGGCACCGGAAAGCUGAGGUUACCAACCAAAUAACUUAGCUGCAUUACAGGCCUAGGAAAUGAAUUUACCUACACAGAAAGCAGAAGGAAUAUAGUGGCUACUGGAGUAUUCCUCUCUCCCUCUAGAAGUGGAACAGGAAAAGUUUUUAAUCCAGGCAAGCUACGUUUUGAUCCAUUCAUCCUAGAGGUAGCAUAGAAUCUUCUGUCCACCAGAGGGCACUGUGCAAACAGUAGGCUCUUCUCAGCUAAAAGCGCUUUACCAGGAAGUCCCUUUUCACACAUGGCGUUUGUAUUCUCAGGGUUCAUUUUGUAGGACUUCUGUCUAUCCCAGAGUACUCUCACUCUGUGGACUCAGACUUUGUCUGGGACCCAUCUAAAACUGUUCUUCCUCUGUAUUCUGUAUCAGCUGCCACCACUAUGCACCAAUCACCCAGAACCUUUCCCCCAUAUCCAACCAUUAAGUCUUGCCAAUUUUCUCACUAAAUAUUUCUCAAAUUUGCCCCUCUAUUCCCUCUCUACCUUCCCUGCCCUUGUGAGGCCUGUA
Microcebus murinus (gray mouse lemur) is the source of this 1027-nucleotide non-coding RNA. Lineage: Eukaryota; Metazoa; Chordata; Mammalia; Primates; Cheirogaleidae. The record is from RefSeq and is a predicted model, not a curated record.